This 235-nucleotide long non-coding RNA is filed under the name Crocodylus porosus (Australian saltwater crocodile). Its description in RNAcentral is "lncRNA (ENSCPRG00005010372.1)". Lineage: Eukaryota; Metazoa; Chordata; Crocodylia; Crocodylidae. The record is from RNAcentral.
CACACAUGGAAGAAAGUAUCUCAACAGCAUAGCACAUUCACAAACUAUGAAAACAAUAGCCUAGCCCAGUCCCUUGACAAGAUGUUUCUUGGAAGGAGGAAGACACAAAAUUCAACACUGGUGGAAGUUGUGGACAUUGCUAAAGGAGAAAGGUCCCAAUCCUAGAACAACUGUAGCACAUAUAGACUCCUGCAUGCCUUUGAGUUCAGUGGAUCUCUUCAAAGGCCUGCAGUCU